This 297-nucleotide small nuclear RNA is filed under the name Nannospalax galili (Upper Galilee mountains blind mole rat). Its description in RNAcentral is "7SK RNA (ENSNGAG00000008126.1)". It matches the Rfam family "7SK RNA". Rfam says of the family: 7SK was discovered as an abundant small nuclear RNA in the mid-70s but a possible function has only recently been suggested. Two independent studies have found that 7SK RNA binds the CDK9/cyclin T complex (known as elongation factor P-TEFb). P-TEFb activates transcription by phosphorylating the C-terminal domain of RNA polymerase II. The record is from Rfam by way of RNAcentral. Lineage: Eukaryota; Metazoa; Chordata; Mammalia; Rodentia; Spalacidae.
GGAUGUAAGGGUGAACUGGCUCUACUAUUGAUCAGCACAGUUGAUUCAGCUUAUCUGGCUGACUAGAUAGGUGCCCCCUUCCUCCCUCAUUCCUUCACUCCCAGAGUGAAACCUCACAGCCGAAGAGGACAGCUUUCCCAGGAAAGGAAGAUCAUUACCAAAGGGUAUUGUGAAUAGAUACACUCUCCUGCUACACCUGCAAACAAGCUGCCAGGGUCCUUUUGUAGGAGAUGUGAAGUAAUCAAGCUUCUAAGACUUAGACACAUCCAAAUGUGGUACAUGUCGUAGUCUGCCUUU